Molecule: small RNA, 101 nt
Filed under: Marmota monax (woodchuck)
Lineage: Eukaryota; Metazoa; Chordata; Mammalia; Rodentia; Sciuridae
Source: RNAcentral
GCUGGGUGUGGUGGCUCACGCCUGUAAUCCUACAAAUCCAGGAGGCUGAGGCAGGAGGAUCAAAAGGUGAAGGCCAGCCUCAGCAAUUUAGCCAGGCUCUU